RNAcentral lists this ribosomal RNA (594 nucleotides) under uncultured bacterium. RNAcentral's name for it is "bacterial SSU rRNA". It matches the Rfam family "Bacterial small subunit ribosomal RNA", at positions 8 to 589 of the family's 1533-position model. The record is from RNAcentral.
AGAGUUUGAUUAUGGCUCAGAACGAACGCUGGCGGCGUGCUUAACACAUGCAAGUCAGGGAGAAAGUCUCUUCGGGGAUGAUUAAACCGGCGCACGGGUGAGUAACACGUGAGUGACCUGCCUUUUAGACUGGAACAACUUACCGAAAGGUGAGCUAAUGCCGGAUGAGUUAUAUAAGUGCAUGUUUAUAUAGGAAAAGUUGGGGAGACCUGACGCUGAAAGAUGGACUCGCGUCCCAUUAGCUAGUUGGUAGGGUAAUGGCCUACCAAGGCGACGAUGGGUAGCCGGCCUGAGAGGGUGGCCGGCCACACUGGGACUGAGACACGGCCCAGACUCCUACGGGAGGCAGCAGUGGGGAAUUUUGCGCAAUGCUCGUAAGAGUGACGCAGCGACGCCGCGUGAAUGACGAAGGCCUUCGGGUCGUAAAGUUCUUUCGACAGGGAAGAAAAUGCCUAUAAGUAACUGUGUAUGUAUUGACGGUACCUGUAUAAGCAGCCCCGGCUAACUCCGUGCCAGCAGCCGCGGUAAUACGGAGGGGGCGAGCGUUGUUCGGAGUGACUGGGCGUAAAGAGCACGUAGGCGGUGUUGUAAGUC